GGCCUACCAUGGUGGUAACGGGUAACGGGGUGUUAGGGCACGACACCGGAGAGGGAGCCUGAGAAACGGCUACCACAUCCAAGGAUGGCAGCAGGCGCGCAAAUUACCCAAUCCCGACACGGGGAGGUAGUGACAAUAAAUAACAAUACGGGGUUCUUUAGGAUCUCGUAAUUGGAAUGAGUACAAUUUAAAUCUCUUAACGAGGAACAAUUGGAGGGCAAGUCUGGUGCCAGCAGCCGCGGUAAUUCCAGCUCCAAUAGCGUAUAUUAAAGUUGUUGCAGUUAAAAAGCUCGUAGUUGAAUUUCGGGACCAAUUUGUUGGUCGUGCCUCGGUACGUACUGGUAUUAUUGGUUUCUCCCUUCUGAAGAACCUUGAUGUCAUUAAUUUGGUGUCUUGGGGAAUCAGGACUGUUACUUUGAAAAAAUUAGAGUGUUUAAAGCAGGCAUACGCUUGAAUACAUUAGCAUGGAAUAAUGAAAUAGGACGUUUGAUUCUAUUUUGUUGGUUUCUAGGAUCGACGUAAUGAUUAAUAGGGAUAGUUGGGGGCAUUAGUAUUCAAUUGUCAGAGGUGAAAUUCUUGGAUUUAUUGAAGACUAACUACUGCGAAAGCAUUUGCCAAGGAUGUUUUCAUUAAUCAAGAACGAAAGUUAGGGGAUCGAAGACGAUCAGAUACCGUCGUAGUCUUAACCAUAAACUAUGCCGACUAGGGAUCGGAUGAUGUUAUUUUUAAUGACUCAUUCGGCGCCUUACGGGAAACCAAAGUGUUUGGGUUC
Molecule: ribosomal RNA, 772 nt
Filed under: uncultured Glomus
Lineage: Eukaryota; Fungi; Glomeromycota; Glomeromycetes; Glomerales; Glomeraceae
Description: SSU rRNA
Rfam family: Eukaryotic small subunit ribosomal RNA
Source: RNAcentral